UAAUACGAAGGUCCCAAGCGUUGUUCGGAAUCACUGGGCGUAAAGGGAGCGUAGGCGGCGUGGUAAGUCAGGUGUGAAAUCCCGGGGCUCAACCCCGGAACUGCACCCGAUACUGCCAUGCUUGAGGGUUGGAGAGGUAGCUGGAAUUCUCGGUGUAGCAGUGAAAUGCGUGGAUAUCGAGAGGAACACUCGUGGCGAAGGCGAGCUACUGGACAACAUCUGACGCUGAGGCUCGAAGGCCAGGGGAGCAAAAGGG
This 256-nucleotide ribosomal RNA is filed under the name uncultured bacterium. RNAcentral's name for it is "partial 16S ribosomal RNA". It matches the Rfam family "Bacterial small subunit ribosomal RNA", at positions 521 to 776 of the family's 1533-position model. The record is from RNAcentral.